Chrysemys picta bellii (western painted turtle) is the source of this 286-nucleotide non-coding RNA. Lineage: Eukaryota; Metazoa; Chordata; Testudines; Emydidae. The record is from RefSeq and is a predicted model, not a curated record.
GCGCGCGCGGGUGUAGGGCCCCGAAGGCCGCCGCGGAACGUUCGUCUCCCUGCCUGGCGCGCGCCCGGGGGGACCUUCUCUGCCGCCCCCGCCCGGAGCCGCAGGCAGCAGGGUCCGGCGCGAGCUGGGGGCGGGCAGCGGCGCUGCAGGCUGCAGCGUAACAUUCAUGUUUUGCUCCAGAUCAUUCCGUCCUUCCAGCGACCAGGGAAGGGAAAUGGAUGCAGUGGAGCCGGUUGAGGGGCCGGUGACCUUCGAGGAGGUGGCUGUGUAUUUCACCAAGGAAGAG